Molecule: long non-coding RNA, 876 nt
Filed under: Microcebus murinus (gray mouse lemur)
Lineage: Eukaryota; Metazoa; Chordata; Mammalia; Primates; Cheirogaleidae
Description: lncRNA (ENSMICG00000048501.1)
Source: RNAcentral
CGCAGACCCGGCAGGGCGUGCGCCCCCGCCCCGGCCCGGCUGCCCGAGAGCCCGGGCGGCAGCCAGCUCUCUCCUCGUCUCCCUCCUGUCCUUCUCGUUAGGUCCUCUCUUCUCCACUCACUUUCUCCCUCCUCUUCUGCCCUGCUUCCUUUUUAUUUUUCCUGCUUGUUUCUGCAAGUUUGUUUCAGAAGUUCACAGCACGCUCUCUUUCCUUUUAGACCUGGAGACCGUGGUCUCACCCUGACGCGGCCGAUACUUUGGGGGACACACGAGCUUUCUGUGGACAAAAAUCUCGGGAGCGCCUCGAACCUGGCCCAAAGGAGAGGCAGAUGCGUGGGGAGAGCCCAGUGGACUCCCAGGUCUCUCAACCGGGAGAAGCGCCGUGGCGAUGGUUUCUAGCGGAGAUGCCGCAGUUCGACCUAAACUGUGGACUGCAAUGGCGGGAGAAGCAUCUUGCAAAGCUGGAAUCUCCGGGCAGCCGUGCUAAUGAGGAGCCCAGACUGCGGGGUGCGAUUCACCUCGUUUUCUGGUUUAAUCCUCCCCAAAGCUCUAGGGGACGAAAUGCACGGAAUUCAUUGUCCCCUUUUGCCAGCUGGGGAAACUGAGGCUUAAAGAGACCGCGUGUCAUCGGUAAAUAUGAGCAUGCCUGCUGGGCUCUGGGACGCAGGAGGGAGGGGGGCAAGCGACCUCCCUGAGAGACCUCACCUUCCGGUGACAGAGCAAAUAAUGACGUAGCAUGGCUGAGGGUACAGUGUGAUUAUGGGCCGAAAUCGCUGAUGGGAAGGAGAGGGGGUACCGUGUUUCCCCGAAAACAAGACCUACCCUUAAAAUAAGCCCCGGCAGGAUGUCUGAGCAUGUGCGCCAUAGAAGCCCCAC